GUUCGGUUUUGAAAAAGAAUUUGGUAAAACCGAACCAAACCAAAUCUAUAAAACAGUGUGUUUUAGGUGGAGUUACUUAUGUCAUUUCUUCUCCUUCAGCAACUAAUCUGCUUCUCAAACAAAUGACGCUGCCCUCAUCAAAUCCCUUUGCCUCUGCUACUCACUUCUCAAACCCGUUUGGCCAUCUCCCUCACUCCCUUCCCUUGAAAUCUGUGCCUCUCGAAUUCUUAGAAAUCUUCUUUUUCCUUUAUCUCAGCAGUCCAUAUGUAAUUCUUCUCCAUUCCUCUUUGCUUCUUUGAUCUUCUCAGUCCACUUGCACUUCCUCUCCAGAAAUGACAGCAAAAACAUUGAAGCUGAUUGUUGGGACCUGUUUUAGAAAUGCGCAAGAAAAGGAAAAAGCCUUUGAUGGAUCUUUAUUAGAUUUCCUCAGAUCUUCUCUUCUAGAAAUUAGACACCAAAAUAUGUCAAGCCAAUGAGAAAGAGACUGAUGAGGGAUUUCAAGAGAUUCUAGGACGAUGGAGGUAGGUCAUUAUAUAUGUUUUUUCUCACAUUGUGUUUU
RNAcentral lists this unclassified non-coding RNA (559 nucleotides) under Hevea brasiliensis (rubber tree). The record is from RNAcentral. Lineage: Eukaryota; Viridiplantae; Streptophyta; Magnoliopsida; Malpighiales; Euphorbiaceae.